RNAcentral lists this ribosomal RNA (506 nucleotides) under uncultured bacterium. RNAcentral's name for it is "bacterial SSU rRNA". It matches the Rfam family "Bacterial small subunit ribosomal RNA", at positions 32 to 518 of the family's 1533-position model. The record is from RNAcentral.
AACGCUGGCGGCGUGCUUAACACAUGCAAGUCGAACGCGAAAGGGACUUCGGUCCUGAGUAAAGUGGCGCACGGGUGAGUAACGCGUAGAUAACCUGUCUUCAUGUCUGGAAUAAUACGCCGAAAGGGGUACUAAUACCGGAUAUUCUUGCUUUUCAUAAGUUAUGCAAGCAAAGGUGGCCUCUGCAUAUGCUACUGCAUGAAGAGGGGUCUGCGUACCAUUAGCUAGUAGGUGGGGUAAUGGCCUACCUAGGCGACGAUGGUUAGCGGGUCUGAGAGGAUGAUCCGCCACACUGGCACUGGAACACGGGCCAGACUCCUACGGGAGGCAGCAGUGAGGAAUAUUGCGCAAUGGGGGAAACCCUGACGCAGCGACGCCGCGUGAGUGAGGAAGGCCUUCGGGUCGUAAAGCUCUGUCAAGAGGAAAGAAGUGUACAAUGGCUAAUACCUGUUGUAUUUGACGGUACCUCUAAAGGAAGCACCGGCUAACUCCGUGCCAGCAGCGGC